This is a non-coding RNA of Tachysurus fulvidraco (yellow catfish), 646 nucleotides long. Lineage: Eukaryota; Metazoa; Chordata; Actinopteri; Siluriformes; Bagridae. The record is from the annotation of a RefSeq genome assembly.
UUCACUGAGCUAAGACCAGUCAUCAUGUUCACUGUUAUAUUCAUGUAUCUGUGGCUUUCACUAGGUGACUCCAUGGCAGAUUCAAUAGAGACACUUUUGACUCAAAAAGUUGUAGAUGAUGGUGAUGAUGUUACUUUGUCAUGUAGAUACACAUUUAACAGUGUUUUAGGAAGCAACAACCUACAGUGGUACAGACAAUAUCCAAAAUCUAAACCUGAGUUCCUUCUUUAUAUUACUCAAAGUGGAGCUUUCAAUUCUGACCCUCUACCAAGAAUGUCUGUUAAAGUUGAUGAUAAACAAGUGGAUCUGAUCAUCUCCUCUGCUGCUGUAUCAGACUCUGCUCUAUACUACUGUGCUCUGCAGCCCACAGUGACAGGAAAUCUAGCUGCACUGUACAAACACUAAAACAGUUUUGUUAUAUUGAAAGCAGUUCUACUGAUGAUUUUAAAUUAACUGGCCAUAUUGGAAAUCCUUUCUCUCUUGUUAUUAAUAGUUUAGAUUUGUAACACAUGUGUGAUUAUUAGGAUACAGCUGAUUCCAUUAGAGUGAUAUAUUUUCUCAGUAAUCCCAGAAGUCACCCAAAUCUAAAAGUGUUUAGAUUUUCUGCAGAGACAAAACAACACACACCUCCCUUCCAUCAUCAUCA